UCGUGCCUUCUCACAUGGUAUCAGAGCUAUCGUGAGAGAUUUAUCGCUAUGCAUAAAUUCCAGCGAUUCCGGAAAGUGAAAUCAGUCAUCGGAACCCUUUAUCCAGCAACUUUCAAAGUUGUUUUGCGUCUUGUCUCUGUCAGUAUUGUGUAAAAAAUCAAACACUACCACAAGAAUAAUCACUGUCCGGCGACCAAACCCUAGUGAAAAUAUCCGGCGGUAUUGUAGCUGUCCGAAGAAAAUUUUCCUACGAAGUUCCGACGUCACGUGGGCUACCUUCCGGCCAUUUUUUGGCGACGACUCUUCAGGACAGAUUGUUCCCCUUGCAAUUACACCAAAUUCCGACCACUUUUAUAUUUUUCCGGCAUCAAUAGUGAUUUCAAAAGUGGAAUUCCAACCAUUUUUUGAAAAAGUUCCUUCAGAACAGUUGGGUCGUCUGUUAAUUCCGAUUCUACCCCGACUGUUUAUAUUUCAUUUUGACCGCUUUGAAUUUUUCCCGACUGCUACGGUAAUAAUUCGAGAGCUACAGUAUUUCUGAAGUGAACAGUAUUUUUCGGUGCAGAACAGUGUUCUGCUUUCCUGCUAUAAACAGUGUUUUCUCAAUGAUUUAUUCAGUUUUCCCAAAAGAGUUACUAAUUUUCACUAUUUCAAGUUAACCCUACAACUAUUAAUUGUAGCGACAUGGGAACUGAUGCUUCAAAUAGUCGGAUGGUUUCUUUGGUGUAUUACUUUGAGUUUCUUCAGUACAAACCAGGUAAGUAGACAUCUUCUGAGAUAGCUUCCGUUGUUCAGACAGGUAAUAGCGUGACUUGUGUCUCUCAAU
Molecule: long non-coding RNA, 823 nt
Filed under: Nicotiana benthamiana
Lineage: Eukaryota; Viridiplantae; Streptophyta; Magnoliopsida; Solanales; Solanaceae
Description: long non-coding RNA (NBEN_LNC002527)
Source: RNAcentral